This 1579-nucleotide ribosomal RNA is filed under the name Lactiplantibacillus plantarum. Its description in RNAcentral is "Lactobacillus plantarum 16S ribosomal RNA". It matches the Rfam family "Bacterial small subunit ribosomal RNA". The record is from RNAcentral. Lineage: Bacteria; Bacillati; Bacillota; Bacilli; Lactobacillales; Lactobacillaceae.
UUAAUUUGAGAGUUUGAUCCUGGCUCAGGACGAACGCUGGCGGCGUGCCUAAUACAUGCAAGUCGAACGAACUCUGGUAUUGAUUGGUGCUUGCAUCAUGAUUUACAUUUGAGUGAGUGGCGAACUGGUGAGUAACACGUGGGAAACCUGCCCAGAAGCGGGGGAUAACACCUGGAAACAGAUGCUAAUACCGCAUAACAACUUGGACCGCAUGGUCCGGGUUUGAAAGAUGGCUUCGGCUAUCACUUUUGGAUGGUCCCGCGGCGUAUUAGCUAGAUGGUGAGGUAACGGCUCACCAUGGCAAUGAUACGUAGCCGACCUGAGAGGGUAAUCGGCCACAUUGGGACUGAGACACGGCCCAAACUCCUACGGGAGGCAGCAGUAGGGAAUCUUCCACAAUGGACGAAAGUCUGAUGGAGCAACGCCGCGUGAGUGAAGAAGGGUUUCGGCUCGUAAAACUCUGUUGUUAAAGAAGAACAUAUCUGAGAGUAACUGUUCAGGUAUUGACGGUAUUUAACCAGAAAGCCACGGCUAACUACGUGCCAGCAGCCGCGGUAAUACGUAGGUGGCAAGCGUUGUCCGGAUUUAUUGGGCGUAAAGCGAGCGCAGGCGGUUUUUUAAGUCUGAUGUGAAAGCCUUCGGCUCAACCGAAGAAGUGCAUCGGAAACUGGGAAACUUGAGUGCAGAAGAGGACAGUGGAACUCCAUGUGUAGCGGUGGUGAAAUGCGUAGAUAUAUGGAAGAACACCAGUGGCGAAGGCGGCUGUCUGGUCUGUAACUGACGCUGAGGCUCGAAAGUAUGGGUAGCAAACAGGAUUAGAUACCCUGGUAGUCCAUACCGUAAACGAUGAAUGCUAAGUGUUGGAGGGUUUCCGCCCUUCAGUGCUGCAGCUAACGCAUUAAGCAUUCCGCCUGGGGAGUACGGCCGCAAGGCUGAAACUCAAAGGAAUUGACGGGGGCCCGCACAAGCGGUGGAGCAUGUGGUUUAAUUCGAAGCUACGCGAAGAACCUUACCAGGUCUUGACAUACUAUGCAAAUCUAAGAGAUUAGACGUUCCCUUCGGGGACAUGGAUACAGGUGGUGCAUGGUUGUCGUCAGCUCGUGUCGUGAGAUGUUGGGUUAAGUCCCGCAACGAGCGCAACCCUUAUUAUCAGUUGCCAGCAUUAAGUUGGGCACUCUGGUGAGACUGCCGGUGACAAACCGGAGGAAGGUGGGGAUGACGUCAAAUCAUCAUGCCCCUUAUGACCUGGGCUACACACGUGCUACAAUGGAUGGUACAACGAGUUGCGAACUCGCGAGAGUAAGCUAAUCUCUUAAAGCCAUUCUCAGUUCGGAUUGUAGGCUGCAACUCGCCUACAUGAAGUCGGAAUCGCUAGUAAUCGCGGAUCAGCAUGCCGCGGUGAAUACGUUCCCGGGCCUUGUACACACCGCCCGUCACACCAUGAGAGUUUGUAACACCCAAAGUCGGUGGGGUAACCUUUUAGGAACCAGCCGCCUAAGGUGGGACAGAUGAUUAGGGUGAAGUCGUAACAAGGUAGCCGUAGGAGAACCUGCGGCUGGAUCACCUCCUUUCUAAGGAA